Molecule: ribosomal RNA, 251 nt
Filed under: uncultured bacterium
Lineage: Bacteria
Description: partial 16S ribosomal RNA
Rfam family: Bacterial small subunit ribosomal RNA
Source: RNAcentral
CCACGCCGUAAACGAUGAGUGUUAGGUGCCUGGCAAAGCUGGGUGCCGCAGCUAACGCAUUAAACACUCCGCCUGGGGAGUACGCACGCAAGUGUGAAACUCAAAGGAAUUGACGGGGACCCGCACAAGCAGCGGAGCAUGUGGUUUAAUUCGAUGCAACGCGAAAAACCUUACCAGGGCUUGACAUAUCACGGAAAGAACUAGAGAUAGAACCCCUCUUCGGAGCCGUGAUACAGGUGGUGCAUGGUUGU